GCCGCCACCUCAGCGCCCAACGCGGCCGCUACCUGCAACCACCCCCACCUCCACCCCGUAUCGAUCUGCCGCUUUCUCGAUCUACCUCGCCGCCGCUUCCUCGAUAUGCCUUGCCGCCGUUUGGAUCGUUGCGGCGACGUCUUCGUCGGUCUUCAGCUCCAGCACCUACAUCCUGAAGGAGCACGAUCUCGUCGCUGGUUUCAUCGGUUCUGGGACCCAAAUUGCUGAGGGGACUUCCACAACUUGUUUUACUUGAUUUCCCUGUCUGAGACUACCAUCUUGUCCUAAGUGGAUUUUCCUUUCUCCUUCCCUCAUUUAUCUGCUACGAAUUCAUGUCUAUUGGCAAGUUAAAUUGUCUCUGUUAUGUCAUUAGUUAAUUUGUCUUUACUGGUAAUGGUUUUUCUGACAUUUUUAAUUAUAUCUAGGAUGGCGAUGGACAUGUUGACCAUAUACCUGCACUAUGAAGGUGCAAAUCAGGAAGCCAAGAUUUUACAAAUAUCCAUGAUGAGGCGUGAUGUCUCGUAUUAUGACUUAAUCUUUGAUGAUCGAGGAAGUUGGCUUUCAGGCAAUUGACUUUCUGUAAUCUAUGCGGAAAAACCCGUCUAGGUGAGGGAAACGAGGGAUCUUACAGGUGAAUCUUUUUCAAGACUAAACCAACAGGGGACUGGAAUUGAACACCCACACCCAGGUUGCUAAAAAAAGGCGUACUUCUUCCAUCAAGGCUGCUUCAAUAGUAGUAUUCUGAGUAUGGAUUCAAGAACUAAGGCCGGUGGUAUUGAGUUAGGUGCUGAAUUUGCCCUUGUGCGCAGAGAUCAACCUAUUCUUGAUAAUGAGGAUUUG
Molecule: long non-coding RNA, 840 nt
Organism: Triticum dicoccoides
Lineage: Eukaryota; Viridiplantae; Streptophyta; Magnoliopsida; Poales; Poaceae
Exons: 4
Source: RefSeq, a predicted model, not a curated record